UUGAUCCUGCCGGAGGUUACUGCUAUCGGAGUUCGAUUAAGCCAUGCGAGUCUAAAGGUUUCUUCGGAAACCUUGGCGGACUGCUCAGUAACACGUGGAUAACCUACCCUUGGGACUGGAAUAACCCCGGGAAACUGGGGAUAAUACCGGAUAGAUCAGGGAUGCUGGAAUGCGCCUUGAUCCAAAGCUCCGGCGCCCAAGGAUGGGUCUGCGGCCUAUCAGGUUGUAGUGGGUGUAACGUACCUACUAGCCGACGACGGAUACGGGUUGUGAGAGCAAGAGCCCGGAGAUGGAUUCUGAGACACGAAUCCAGGCCCUACGGGGUGCAGCAGGCGCGAAACCUUUACAAUGUGCGAAAGCAUGAUAAGGGAACUCCGAGUGCCAGUAUCUAAUACUGGCUGUCCUUGUGCCUAAAACGCACAAGAUAGCAAGGGCCGGGUAAGACCGGUGCCAGCCGCCGCGGUAACACCGGCGGCCCGAGUGGUAGCCGCUAUUAUUGGGUCUAAAGGGUCCGUAGCCGGUUCGAUAAGUCCUCUGGGAAAUCUGGUUGCUUAACAAUCAGACUGCCAAGGGAUACUGUCGAACUUGAGACCGGGAGAGGUAAGAGGUACUUCAGGGGUAGGAGUGAAAUCUUGUAAUCCCUGGGGGACCAUCUGUGGCGAAGGCGUCUUACCAGAACGGGUCUGACGGUGAGGGACGAAAGCUGGGGGCGCAAACCGGAUUAGACACCCGGGUAGUCCCAGCCGUAAACGAUGCUCGCUAUGUGUCAGGUACGGUGUGACCGUAUCUGGUGCCGUAGGGAAGCCGUGAAGCGAGCCACCUGGGAAGUACGGUCGCAAGACUGAAACUUAAAGGAAUUGGCGG
This 864-nucleotide ribosomal RNA is filed under the name uncultured archaeon. Its description in RNAcentral is "bacterial SSU rRNA". It matches the Rfam family "Archaeal small subunit ribosomal RNA", at positions 8 to 871 of the family's 1478-position model. The record is from RNAcentral.